CGCGGCCUAUCAGCUUGUUGGAGAGGUAACGGCUCACCAAGGCAUCGACGGGUAGCUGGUCGGAGAGGAUGAUCAGCCACACUGGGACUGAGACACGGCCCAGACUCCUACGGGAGGCAGCAGUGGGGAAUCUUGCACAAUGGGCGAAAGCCUGAUGCAGCAACGCCGCGUGCGGGAAGACGGCCCUAGGGUUGUAAACCGCUUUCGGCAGGGAAGAAACUGACGGUACCUGCAGAAGAAGAUGCGGCCAACUACGUGCCAGCAGCCGCGGUGACACGUAGGCAUCGAGCGUUAUCCGGAUUUAUUGGGCGUAAAGAGCUCGUAGGCGGUUCGGUAAGUCGGGUGUGAAAACUCUGGGCUCAACCCAGAGACGCCACCCGAUACUGCUGUGACUAGAGUGCGGUAGGGGAGUGGGGAACUCCUGGUGUAGCGGUGAAAUGUGCAGAUAUCAGGAAGAACACCAGUGGCGAAGGCGCCACUCUGGGCCGUAACUGACGCUGAGGAGCGAAAGCGUGGGUAGCAAACAGGAUUAGAUACCCUGGUAGUCCACGCCGUAAACGUUGGGCACUAGGUGUGGGUCUCAACCAACGAGAUCCGCGCCGUCGCAAACGCAUUGAGUGCCCCGCCUGGGGAGUACA
Molecule: ribosomal RNA, 638 nt
Filed under: uncultured bacterium
Lineage: Bacteria
Description: bacterial SSU rRNA
Rfam family: Bacterial small subunit ribosomal RNA
Source: RNAcentral